GAACCACCAAAUUGUCUUGGGUAACCAUUCCAAGAGUGAUAAUUUUCUCAACUGGUAUAUCAAUUGAUGAGUCAAGUUCAAGUGAGAUGUUUUGCACUCAUUUGAUUUUACUUUUGGAGAUCACAGUUGGUUCUGCUCACUACUAUAUGUUGUUGGUUACAUUCAUUGAAUUUUUGUAUGUUGGUCCUGAACUGCAGAAUUUUCAUUUGAGUGUUUGGUUAUGGCCCUCUUCACUACUGUAUCUGUGCUUUAAUUGCAGUAUGAUAUUCUUUUCUCUUGAUA
This 282-nucleotide unclassified non-coding RNA is filed under the name Hevea brasiliensis (rubber tree). The record is from RNAcentral. Lineage: Eukaryota; Viridiplantae; Streptophyta; Magnoliopsida; Malpighiales; Euphorbiaceae.